This is a long non-coding RNA of Empidonax traillii (willow flycatcher), 126 nucleotides long. RefSeq lists it as uncharacterized. The transcript has 3 exons. The record is from RefSeq and is a predicted model, not a curated record. NCBI's taxonomy places the organism in Eukaryota, Metazoa, Chordata, Aves, Passeriformes, Tyrannidae.
UGAUAGAAUAAAAGAAAAAGGCCUCAGGUUGCACCAUGGGAGGUUUAUAUUGGAUAUUAGGAAAAAUUGCUUCAGUGAAAGGGUUGUCAAGCACUAGAACAGACUGCCCAGGGAAGUGGUGGAGUC